GGGCCCGCACAAGCGGUGGAGCAUGUGGUUUAAUUCGAUGAUACGCGAGGAACCUUACCAGGGCUUAAAUGUUAGGUGACAGAUCUAGAAAUAGAUUUUUCUUCGGACACUUAACAAGGUGCUGCAUGGUUGUCGUCAGCUCGUGCCGUGAGGUGUCAGGUUAAGUCCUAUAACGAGCGCAACCCCUGUUGUUAGUUGCCAGCGAGUAAUGUCGGGAACUCUAGCAAGACUGCCAGUGCAAACUGUGAGGAAGGUGGGGAUGACGUCAAAUCAUCACGGCCCUUACGUCCUGGGCUACACACGUGCUACAAUGGUAGGUACAGAGAGCAGCCAAUGCGCGAGCAUGAGCAAAUCUAUAAAAACCGAUCUCAGUUCGGAUCGCAGUCUGCAACUCGACUGCGUG
This 403-nucleotide ribosomal RNA is filed under the name uncultured bacterium. Its description in RNAcentral is "bacterial SSU rRNA". It matches the Rfam family "Bacterial small subunit ribosomal RNA", at positions 917 to 1322 of the family's 1533-position model. The record is from RNAcentral.